UCUUAAAGACACCACACUUAGCUAAUAAGAGCAUCCACAUAGCACAUCUUUUAAUGGAUGUCUUUAUUUUAAGAGAGAGAACAAGAUUGACAAUAAAUAGAGCGACUUUUUA
Molecule: small RNA, 112 nt
Filed under: Arabidopsis thaliana (thale cress)
Lineage: Eukaryota; Viridiplantae; Streptophyta; Magnoliopsida; Brassicales; Brassicaceae
Description: ATSL107950
Source: RNAcentral